AUAUUGGACAAUGGGGGCAACCCUGACCCAGCCAUGCCGCGUGUGUGAAGAAGGUCUUCGGAUUGUAAAGCACUUUAAGUUGGACGGAAGGGCUUUAGGUUAAUACCCUGAAGUUUUGACGUUACCAACAGAAUAAGCACCGGCUAACUCUGUGCCAGCAGCCGCGGUAAUACAGAGGGUGCAAGCGUUAAUCGGAAUUACUGGGCGUAAAGCGCGGGGAAGUGGGUCAGUAAGAAGGGUGUGGAAUCCCCGGGGCUAACCUGGGAACUGCUUUCAUUACUGCUGGGCUAGAGGAAGGUAGGAGGUAGUGGGAUUUCCUGGGUAGGGGUGGAAUGCGUAAAUAUAGGGAAGAACACCAAUGGCGAAGGCGGCUACCUGGACUGGUACUGACACUGGAGGGGGAAAGCGUGGGGAGCAAAC
This 420-nucleotide ribosomal RNA is filed under the name uncultured bacterium. RNAcentral describes it as "partial 16S ribosomal RNA". It matches the Rfam family "Bacterial small subunit ribosomal RNA", at positions 361 to 773 of the family's 1533-position model. The record is from RNAcentral.